GUCCCUUUUCCAGUCAUACAAUUUCGCAAAGAUGACAACUUUCAGGAUGAAUUUUGCACCCUGAUAUAAUAUGAAAAUAGUUGGUAAAACUUACAAGUACUGUUUCAAUAGCGAAAAAGGUGUUGCAUACUUCAUCAAGUAUGUCGUAGAAAUUACAGCACCCUGCCAUAUAAGUUUAAAAAAUCCAAACAAGAAUAGAAUUGGAAAAAAGUAAGCACCCAAAUCAUGAAAAU
RNAcentral lists this long non-coding RNA (233 nucleotides) under Phoenix dactylifera (date palm). RNAcentral's name for it is "long non-coding RNA (PDAC_LNC022694)". The record is from RNAcentral. Lineage: Eukaryota; Viridiplantae; Streptophyta; Magnoliopsida; Arecales; Arecaceae.